CUCUGACUUCCUGAAAAUCCAUUGAGUUGAUUGACACAGCUUGGACCCACAAGUUGAGUGGGAACACAGCAAAAGCCACCACGCUGAACACAAGACUUCUAUCCAUGUGUACUUCUCAAAGAAUCAGCUCAUUAAAAGGGACCUGUAACACUGAUACUAAACCUGAGUUGGGCCCAUUGUUCAUAAAGUUUAUAACCACCGAGGACAAACAGAGAUCCAUUCAUGCUGAGGCUUCCUCUGGUGCUGCAUAGAGGGAAGGACUGACAGG
Long non-coding RNA from Notolabrus celidotus (New Zealand spotty), 268 nucleotides. RefSeq lists it as uncharacterized. The record is from RefSeq and is a predicted model, not a curated record. The transcript has 3 exons. Lineage: Eukaryota; Metazoa; Chordata; Actinopteri; Labriformes; Labridae.